RNAcentral lists this long non-coding RNA (4988 nucleotides) under Sus scrofa (pig). RNAcentral describes it as "lncRNA (ENSSSCG00025028602.1)". Lineage: Eukaryota; Metazoa; Chordata; Mammalia; Artiodactyla; Suidae. The record is from RNAcentral.
CUGUGACCUAUGCUGCAGUUCUUGCAGCAACACUGGAUUCUUAACCCACUGAGCAAGGCCAGGGACUGAAUCCCAUCCUCACAGAGACUGUGUCAGGACUUUAACCUGCUGAGCCACAACAGGAAAUCUAAUCUCUGAGUUCUAAAGCUUCAAAAGUAGCCUUAAAGUAAGUAAAAUAGUCCUCUAAAUUUUGCCACUUAAUGAUCUUACUUUUUGGGUAAGUAAUUUGUGUAAAGACCAAAGUUGCAGUCAUGGGAUUAGACUAGUUCAGGGUUAUCUACAUGCCUUAGUGGGUCGUUAAUAAAGAAGGCCACUGCAUAAAACACAGCUGUGUCAUUCCAAGUUAAUGAGCCUUCUCUGUGCCUGGUCUGUCCAUGCACUACUGUGUAGAUAGGAGUUUCUUAUCAGCCUACACAUUUUGCAUCAACAUAUCAGGGUGUUCUAUUUGGGUCUGGGAGCUCAGAUAUAAAGAAUAUUUAUCACGCUAAGAUUAGUAAGAGUUACCAUAUGCACAGAGUGGCAGAUUCUUGCACACAGAGAUGUGUUUGACACUGCGUGCUAUCUUUCAGCACUAUACAGAAUGAGCACCCUAGUUGGAAACUAUUUUUCUCUUCACUGAACAUAGUAGUGCUUUAUCUGCUCUUCACCAGUAGCAGGGUUUUAUAAAAUAUCUCUUCUCUCCUCUAAUAAACCGCAAGUGGUUUGGGGGCCAUUUCUGGAUGCCUUGCAAAACGUAGGUGCUCCAUAAAUGGAAGAGUAUCGGAGGCUCAUAUAACAUUUGGUUGACAUGGGCCACUGCAUGUUUCUUCAGACCUGGAGGUGGAUUUUCUUGCUCUGUUUCCAGAAUUGGACUAUUGGGUCAUAGUCUAGAGAGUUGCUCACUGAGCCAAGCUGGGAUUAAGCCUGGAACACUGGCCCAACUGGUUAGGUGCGCUAAUGAAACACACUUGCCUUAAAGAUCACUUAAACAUAUGAACAAAAGUCAGGGAGGAAGACCUUUUUUCCUACCCUUCUAGGUUCUCCUGGCUGGUCUACGAAUUAAAUUAGACAAUUAACAUGAGAUAAUAAAACAAAAGUUUAAUAAUAUGUAAACAUGGGAGAGACCCAGAAAAACUAACUUGCCAAAAUGGCCAAAACCCUCAUUUUAAAUGUCGUCUUCAACUAAGGUCAGAACGGAUGUUGUGGGUAGUAGUGUGGAACUUCAGAGGGGAGGAAAGCAACUCACAUGGAGAUGGAAAAGCAAAUGUUUGGUAAACAAAUGUUGGUUGGGUCGUGCGGAGACAAUGGGAUACAGUGUGGACUCUGAUCUCUAGGCCUACAUUUCUCCCACCACACUCAGCCCAUAUUCUUUGCUGAUAACCUCUGGCGAUGGCUCUAUUCCCAAAACAGGUCCUCUAUCUAGAUUCUUUUAGGCAGUUAGAGGGAAGGUCAAAGUAUCCUCCUGAGUCUUUUGGGCCUUGCUUGGUUUUUGCUCAAAAUAAUUUGUAUGCCAAAGAGACAUCCUGGGGUGGCAAAUUUUGCUCCCCUACAUAGAAGUACCCCAGAGGAAAGGAGCAUGAUACUGGAGAGGCAGCGAAUCCUAACAAUUCCACACCUGCCAUGGAUGCUGGUACCCUGAUUGGCUCAGGGUUCUCAUGGCAACCUUCACUUGCUACCUGCUGUCACUCUUGAGAUGCUUGGCUGGUUGCCACCUUUCUUCAGCUUGCUAGGCUUAGGAAGAACCUGAAAGGAAGCGGGGAUGGGGUGAUGCAUUAUAGCAGGAAUAAUGACUAUUCCCAAGCAAAAAUUAGUUUUAAAUGAUCAAAUGGCUAUUUACCUGCACUUUUAUACUUGUAAUGAGCACUUCUCAAUUAUCUUAAAAGAAAUAUGUCAGAACGUUCAAGAAAUAUUCUAGAUCAUUUCUAGAAAGAGCUAUAAUUUUCAUUUAAAAAAAUUCUUGUAUAUAUAUUUGCUCUUAGAUUCUGCAAGCUCAUACUCCUAAAUAUGAAAACAUAUUUAAUUUCUAACUCAAUGAGAAGAAAAAGACAUCAAUAUUAACUUUUGUUUAAAUGUGUUAUGCAAUUCAAUAUGUGCAUGUGUUUGUAAGAAAAUCAUGGCUUUAAAAUUCUAUAAAUAGAAAACAUCUUUAUAUUUUAUAACUGAUCAUGCUCACAUAUAAAUCAUUGAUUUCUCUAUUCCUAUACAUAGACUUGUUCUUAAACCUUUCAUUCUAACAGCUUUCUAACUGAGUUUGUUGACAAAUGACUAACCAUAAAAUAGAUAAUUAAGAUAUUAAAAAAUAAGCAAAACAAACCAGCAAAAAAAUAAAAUAAAGCUCCCAAAGCAAACAGCAUAUUUUAGAGGGAAAAUAAUUAAAGUGCUUAAAAGAAAGCUCUAUAAAUGUUAAGAAGAUAUAUUUUUAAAACCCCACAGAAAACAAAAUGAUUUCAUAACCACAUUAAGAGAACAAUCAUUUGAGUAUAUUUACUCCAAUGUAAACAAAUAGAGGAAAAAAGGAGAGAGGCUGAAAAUAGCCAGGCUUACACAGAAAGUUAAACCUUAAAGAGUUCCCAUUGUGGCUCAGUGGUUAAAGAGCUUGACUAGUACCCAUGAGGACACAGGUUCCAUGCCUGGCCUCGCUCAGUGGGUUGAGGAUCCAGCAUUGCCAUAAACUGUGAGCUGUGGUGAAGGUCGCAGACGUGGCUUGGAUCCUGCAUUGCUGUGCUGUAGUGUAGGCUGGUGGCUACGGCUCUGAUUAGACCCCUAGCCUGGGAACCUCCAUAUGCCAUGGGAACAGCCCUAAAAAGACAAAAAAGUCAAAAAAAAAAAAAAAAAGAAGAAAAAAAGAAAGUUAAACCUUAAAACGGCAUGAGGCUAGAUUUGAAAUCAGAUGCUCUGGAUGCUACUACGUUCAGGUACUCAGAUCCAAACAACUUGGUACUGUGCUUCAAAUUUUUGUUUCAAAAAAUAUUAACAAGUAAUAAUAAAUUAUAUGAUUGAACUCCAUUCCAUUCUUUGUUCAAAAUUCUGUCAUACACCGAAGAGCUCAGGCUGGGCCUCUGGUUUUCCGCUGCUCCAGGUAAUAUGAUUACGAUGGACCCCAGUGCUCUCCACCUAUCAAUGUCAAUCUGCCUGGACUGUUCCACGACAUCUUUUAUCAGUGAGAGCUGCCUGGUCUUUCAUGCCAGAGCCUUACAGGACCAAAGGUUUUAUUACAUUAAUAUGUUUCUGACUAAUUCUACCUUAUCUACUUAUUCACCUUACCUUUAAAACCCAAUUAAAAUCUAAUUUAUCUCAUCUUUGGAUUCUGAACACUAUUUGGCAAUGAAUCUAACAGCCCUGUAGUAACUACAUUACUCCACAUUGUGCCUUAAGGUGUUCUAGAUAAUACUUUUAAAAAAAUUGGCAAUUGCCAUUUAAAGCUACAGUGAUGUCUUUGAGGCUGCCUCCAUCUCAUUUGAAGAACAAAUGCUUUGUCCUUAUGCAAAAGGUACAUAGUAUGAUUUUAUACCUGUGGUUUUAGUUAUAAUUUAUGUGCAUAAAUGUGAAUAGAUCAUUGCUUUUCUUAAAUUUUUAUUCACUUUUUAAAAAUGUCAGAUAAUAAAGUCUUCUGACAGCUACAAAUUCCUCCAACACAUACACACAUCACAUACACACACGUACACACACACAGCAAUGUUUUAUAAUCUUCCAAAUUGUGGAUAUACUCAUACGUAUAAAUGUUACACUGAGAAAUCUCUUUAUUUAGAAUGUCAGUCCAAAAAAAUCCAUGCUACUGUGUUUCUGAUACUCCAUUUUCUUAAGCUGUGAAAAAAAGUCAUGCAAUGUUGAUACUAAUUCUGUUCUUUAAAAUCCAACUCAAAAAUGUAUACUUUUAUUCAUUUCAUUACACAUGUAUAAAAACAGAGGGCUCCUGGAGUUCCAUGGUGGCUCAGUGGGUUAAAGAUCUGGCAUUGUCAACUGCUGUGGCUCAGGUUCAGUCCCUGGCCCAGGGAACUUCCACAUGCCAUGGGCAUAGCCAAAAAAGAACAAUUAAAGGUGUUUACAGCAAAAUAAAUGAUAUAUACAAGCGACUAUACACAGUGAAAUAGAUGAUAUGUAGACAUAGAGAUAUACAGAUAGUGAAUAUAGGCAGUGACUAACACAGCAAAAUAGAUGAUAUAUAUUCGUGAAUACACACAGUGAAAUAGAUGAGAUAUAUUCGUGAAUACACACAGUGAAAUAGAUGAUAUAUAUAUAUAUAAUACAUAUAGUGAAUACACAAAGCGACUAACAGUGAAAUAAAUGGCAGUGAGAAGAUCCCCCUCCCUUUAUUUCCCAGCUCCUUCUUGAGGGUCAAUCACUAUUCCAGGGAUUUUCACCCACAUUGAUCUUAUUUAACACGAGAAUCCUGGGAAGUAGGUAAUAGAGCAAUAAAAUCUGAGUUCAAAACAUGUGAAAAUAUGACCUAAAAACAGAAUAAAAACACUGGAGUGUGCUGAAGGUCUUAUGACUUACAAUUCCGCCUGGUUCUAGGCUUUUGGAAUGAAGGACUGCCCACAGAAGAAAAUGCAAGGAACUUUUCCAUCAGUUCCCCAAAGGUGAUCUCAGGUAGAACCUGGAUGGGUCAUGAAGUACCUCUGAAUCACUCAGAGGAAAAUGCAGCCCCCCCCCUUUUUUUUUGGUAUAAUGAUUUUUAUUUUUUUCCAUCAUAGAUGGUUUACAGUGUUCUGUUAAUUUCCUACUGUACAGCAUGAUGACCCAGUAGCACAUACAUGUAUACAUUUUUUUCUCACAUUAUCAUGCUCCAUAAUAAGUGACUAGACAUAGUUCCCAGUGCUACACAGCAGAAAUAAAAGCAAAAAUAAACCAACGGGACCUAAUCAAACUGACAAGCUUUUGCAAAGGAAACCAAAAAGAAAACAAAAAGACAACUUACAGAGUGGGAGAAAAUAGUUUCAAGUGAUGCAACUGAUAAGGGCUUAAUCUCUAAAAUAUACAAACAAUUUAUACGAUUCAACUGCAGUUCC